GACGAACGCGGGCGGCGUGCUUAACACAUGCAAGUCGAACGAAGAGAAAUGGAAGCUUGCUUCUAUGGAUCUUAGUGGCGAACGGGUGAGUAACGCGUAAUCAACCUGCCCUUCAGAGGGGGACAACAGUUGGAAACGACUGCUAAUACCGCAUACGAUUCAAUCUCGGCAUCGAGAGUGGAUGAAAGGUGGCCUCUAUUUAUAAGCUAUCACUGAAGGAGGGGAUUGCGUCUGAUUAGCUAGUUGGAGGGGUAACGGCCCACCAAGGCGAUGAUCAGUAGCCGGUCUGAGAGGAUGAACGGCCACAUUGGGACUGAGACACGGCCCAGACUCCUACGGGAGGCAGCAGUGGGGAAUCUUCCGCAAUGGACGAAAGUCUGACGGAGCAACGCCGCGUGAGUGAUGACGGCCUUCGGGUUGUAAAGCUCUGUUAAUCGGGACGAAUGGUUCUUGUGCAAAUAGUGCGAGGAUUUGACGGACCGAAUAGAAGCCACGCAUUCG
This 501-nucleotide ribosomal RNA is filed under the name Veillonella atypica. Its description in RNAcentral is "bacterial SSU rRNA". It matches the Rfam family "Bacterial small subunit ribosomal RNA", at positions 28 to 501 of the family's 1533-position model. Lineage: Bacteria; Bacillati; Bacillota; Negativicutes; Veillonellales; Veillonellaceae. The record is from RNAcentral.